GGCUUAGAGUUUGAUCAUGGCUCAGGAUGAACGCUGGCGGCGUGCAUAACACAUUCAAGUCGAACGGAGUUAUACGAGUAGCAAUACGAAUAUAACUUAGUGGCGGACGGGUGAGUAACGCGUGAGCAACCUACCUUUCAAAGCGGGAUAACACAGGGAAACUUGUGCUAAUACCGCAUAACGUACCGACACCGCAUGAUGAUGAUACCAAAAGGGCAACCUGAUGAAAGAUGGGCUCGCGUCUGAUUAGAUAGUUGGUGAGGUAACGGCUCACCAAGUCUGCGAUCAGUAGCCGGACUGAGAGGUCGAACGGCCACAUUGGAACUGAGAUACGGUCCAGACUCCUACGGGAGGCAGCAGUGGGGAAUAUUGGGCAAUGGGCGAAAGCCUGACCCAGCGACGCCGCGUGAAGGAUGAAGGUCUUCGGAUUGUAAACUUCUGUAGACAGGGACGAAGAAAGUGACGGUACCUGUAAAGUAAGCCACGGCUAACUACGUGCCAGCAGCCGCGGUAAUACGUAGGUGGCGAGCGUUAUCCGGAUUUACUGGGUGUAAAGGGUGUGUAGGCGGGGAAUCAAGUCAGAUGUGAAAAUUACGGGCUCAACUCGUAACCUGCAUUUGAAACUGAUUUUCUUGAGUGUGGGAGAGGUAAAUG
Molecule: ribosomal RNA, 654 nt
Filed under: uncultured organism
Description: bacterial SSU rRNA
Rfam family: Bacterial small subunit ribosomal RNA
Source: RNAcentral